Molecule: ribosomal RNA, 430 nt
Filed under: uncultured bacterium
Lineage: Bacteria
Description: partial 16S ribosomal RNA
Rfam family: Bacterial small subunit ribosomal RNA
Source: RNAcentral
GUGGGGAAUAUUGCACAAUGGGCGCAAGCCUGAUGCAGCAACGCCGCGUGAGGGACGACGGCCUUCGGGUUGUAAACCUCUUUUAGCAGGGAAGAAGCGAAAGUGACGGUACCUGCAGAAAAAGCACCGGCUAACUACGUGCCAGCAGCCGCGGUAAUACGUAGGGUGCAAGCGUUGUCCGGAAUUAUUGGGCGUAAAGAGCUCGUAGGCGGUUUGUCGCGUCUGCUGUGAAAACCCGAGGCUCACCCUCGGGCCUGCAGUGGGUACGGGCAGACUAGAGUGCGGUAGGGGAGAUUGGAAUUCCUGGUGUAGCGGUGGAAUGCGCAGAUAUCAGGAGGAACACCGAUGGCGAAGGCAGAUCUCUGGGCCGUAACUGACGCUGAGGAGCGAAAGCGUGGGGAGCGAACAGGAUUAGAUACCCCUGUAGUCC